GUGCUGUUGGGCGGGCACAGCCUUUGAAAUGGCGGUUUUCUGGCCACCAGUUGGAACCGGCGUUGGUGAGGUUCUCUGUAUUGCUGCUGCGGGCCCUGGUGAGGUGGUGGUAUGACCUCCGUUUCUCAGAUGAGGAAGCCAAGGUACAGAGAAGAUUAAAAUCCACACAUGUCUGCUGGGCAGCACUGCCUCAUGCCCUGAGAAGAGGUGCGGAGGAGAUACAAGUUCGGUCCUGGCCUUAGGUCAAGAGGGCCUUUAUGGGUCAGCUCCCACAGCCAGUGGCUGUUUGAUUCUGGGGAGACUGUUCAAGUUUUCUGAGUCUUGUUUCUCUUAUCUGUGAAAGGGAGUUACUGAAACCUGAAGUAUGAGGAUGCAUGUGAAGGGUGUGUAGUGGGUGGGUGUGAAGUGGUCUCUCAGUGGGGAUUUGAUUUGCAUUGCCCAAUGGCUAAUCACAGUGAGCACCUGCAUGGGCAUUGGUCUUUUCUAUAUCUUCUUUGGAGAAGUGUCUGUUCAAGUCCUAAUAAAAAAAAAUUAGGUUGUUUUUU
This is a long non-coding RNA of Manis javanica (Malayan pangolin), 545 nucleotides long. RefSeq lists it as uncharacterized. The record is from RefSeq and is a predicted model, not a curated record. NCBI's taxonomy places the organism in Eukaryota, Metazoa, Chordata, Mammalia, Pholidota, Manidae.